RNAcentral lists this long non-coding RNA (1982 nucleotides) under Equus asinus (donkey). RNAcentral describes it as "lncRNA (ENSEASG00005030444.1)". The record is from RNAcentral. Lineage: Eukaryota; Metazoa; Chordata; Mammalia; Perissodactyla; Equidae.
AUAAAAAGAAGAAAAAGUUAACUCAGGAUUAUUUAAUGGUACUUUAACAUCAGUGUUGUAUUUUCCUGUUAAAAAUAUCAGCUAUAAAAAUAGGAAGAACCUUGUCGUUUAGAAAUCAAUAUACAAAGUGCAGUUGGUUCAGGUUUGCAUUACUGAUGAAAACCUGCUUACUCAAAUCAGCUACUUUCAGUAGGAACCACUGUGGAUCAGAUCCUUGCGUCAGUCCACAUUCAUUUUAGGUGCAGCAUAGACCGCAGUACAUAUCUUCUGUUUCAACAUCACUCUAAUUUAAGCAGCCCCUAAAGUUGGAGCUAUUCUCAUCAAGCAUCUGGAGCACCCCAAUUUUCUUUUGGCGAACCACUCCUGCCCCCACACUUGACCCCAGUGGUUUGUGAGGAGCCACCCUCAUACCCCAGAUUCAUGGACGAGUAUAUGACCUAGGCCUACACAAUGAGUGAUGUGUCCUCUUAUCACAGUGCCUUAGAGGAUCGACGGGUCCAGUGGGCCAGCCGGGGUCAGUCCCAGGAGCUUUUGCCUGUGCUAUCAGUAAAGCGGAGCUCUCCACUGUGGGGGUGCUCCAGUGGAGUAAGUCAGCCUGAACUCAAGUGGCCAGCUUUGCACACACAGGAGCCCUGACUGAGAAUAAUGCCAGAACGAGAGAUGGAGAGACUCAGGUGCCUGUGACAUCGUUGGCUCACAGGAGUCCAGUGGUAUCUGAAGCUGUCUCUGGAAUUCUCCAUCCAAGCCAGUUUGAAUGGAGACUCUGGCAUGGCAAACUCAGAGACCAGAAUAAAGUUCACUGUUGAACAGCUCCACUAAAAAUGAUCUUCCUGGAAAAAAUAAAUGGCUUGGUAGUUGUAUUUUGAUUAUUCUAUGUUGAAUGUAUCAAUUGUCAGAUAUAUGAGUGUUUGAGUGGGAUAGUUCAAAUGAAGCUAUUUUGGUGUAUUGUACAAGCAAUAUUUGGAGUUUUUAAGUUAAUGCAAGUUUUAUAAGAUUCAAGCCACAACUGGGUGAGGUAAACACGAGGAAAGGUGCUUCCCACGUAGUGUCUAAAUUGUGGGGAAAACAUCUUCAGUUCUUUAGUAUACAACAAGUUAAGGCAAUUAACUAACCCUAUCAACUCCUUAGAUCAAACUACAAAAAUGAAGGAGGCAAAGAAAGGAGGUAUAACUGACUGACUACAUGACAUUACAUCACAGUUGUUAGAAAUGCUGCCUUUCCUUACAGAGAGCGGACGUGGUACUGUCAGUUCUUAUCUCGUAGGUGUUGGCCGCUAGCAGCAGGUGAUUGCCUUGGUCUGGACUGGAAGGCCAGCGCCACAAUUAACCUAUCACUUUUGCUUGAACUCCUGGAGUGUGAGUUUGAUGUUGUUCUUAAGUCUUUGUUGAUGGACAGGUGUGAUCCUAGCCUCAGACUAGGAGACACGGAAGCCCAAAUUUUAAUUUCAGGGAUGGUACUGAGUCCCUGUGUGGCGUUGAAAAAGCCAUUAACCUCCUGGCCUCAGUUUCCCUGUCUGCAAAAUAAGGCUCGUAAUCUAAACUUAGAUGCUUCCCUGGGCUGCUAUGUGAAUUAAUUAUUGUUUAUAGCGCAAGUGGAAGUUGAGCUGUGUUAAUUAUUAUUAUCAUUUCUGGGUCUUCCAGCCAAGUUUAAGCCAAGCCCUUGCCUUGCUUUUAGUUCCUGAGAUCUGACAAGACACAGCCCAAGGCAAUGAAGAGGGCCAUAAAUCAAGGCUCAUCAGCAGAUUCUGCUUAUCUGGCCACAAGGGACUGGCCCUGGAAGGCUCUGCCAACCACAGGCCUUCAGUUCUGGGGUUCUGGGACAGCCCAGAAACUCACAAGGUUUAUUAGAACCUCAUUGUAACAGAGCAAGAGUUGUGAAGCUGCUGCCACACUCCUGUCCCCUUCCUCUUUGUGUACCUGCCAUUUAAUUUACUAAGAAGUCUGAAGAUCAAUAAGAGGAGCUCACCCUGUCAUUAGACAAGG